Molecule: non-coding RNA, 58 nt
Organism: Zootermopsis nevadensis
Lineage: Eukaryota; Metazoa; Arthropoda; Insecta; Blattodea; Termopsidae
Source: Rfam
UGGUCUAGCGGUCAGAACGCUGGGCUUGUAAUCCUGGGGCCCCGGGUUCGAUUCCCGG